RNAcentral lists this ribosomal RNA (465 nucleotides) under uncultured bacterium. RNAcentral describes it as "partial 16S ribosomal RNA". It matches the Rfam family "Bacterial small subunit ribosomal RNA", at positions 28 to 507 of the family's 1533-position model. The record is from RNAcentral.
GACGAACGCUGGCGGCGUGCUUAACACAUGCAAGUCGAGCGGAAAGGCCCCCUUGUGGGGUACUCGAGUGGCGAACGGGUGAGUAACACGCGAGUAACCUACCCUUGACUUUGGGAUAACUUCAGGAAACUGGGGCUAAUACCGGAUAGGAGCUCCUGCUGCAUGGUGGGGGUUGGAAAGUUUCGGCGGUUGGGGAUGGACUCGCGGCUUAUCAGCUUGUUGGUGGGGUAGUGGCGCACCAAGGCUUUGACGGGUAGCCGGCCUGCGAGGGUGACCGGCCACAUUGGGACUGGGAUACGGCCCAGACUCCUACGGGAGGCAGCAGUGGGGAAUAUUGCACAAUGGGCGGAAGCCUGAUGCAGCAACGCCGCGUGCGGGAUGACGGCCUUCGGGUUGUAAACCGCUUUCGCCUGUGACGAAGCGUGAGUGACGGUAAUGGGUAAAGAAGCACCGGCUAACUACGUG